GCCGUGUUUUGGGCCGGUUCUGGAGUGGCUGGCGGCGGGGCCUGGGUGUCCGCCCAGUGCCCGAGGACGCAGGCUUUGGCACCGAAGCCCGGCAUCAGAGGCAACCCCGCGGCUCCUGCCAACGGUCGGGGCCCCUCGGGGACCAGCCCUUCGCGGGGCUGCUGCCAAAAAACCUCAGUCGGGAGGAGCUGGUUGAUGCGCUGCGGGCAGCCGUGGUGGACCGGAAAGGACCUCUAGUGACGUUGAACAAGCCACAGGGUCUACCAGUGACAGGAAAACCAGGAGAGCUGACGUUGUUCUCAGUGCUGCCAGAGCUGAGCCAGUCCCUAGGGCUCAGGGAGCAGGAGCUUCAGGUUGUCCGAGCAUCUGGGAAGCAAAGCAUGACACCUCCCUGACGCUGGGCACAGUGACUCACACCUGUAAUCCCAACACUUCUGGAGGCCAAGGCAAGAGGAUCACUUGAGCCCAGGAGUUCGAGACCAGCCUGGGCAAAAUAGACCCCAUCUCUGGAAAAACAACAACAAAACUUUCCGCGUGGUG
This 540-nucleotide long non-coding RNA is filed under the name Homo sapiens (human). RNAcentral describes it as "HSALNT0050783". The record is from RNAcentral. Lineage: Eukaryota; Metazoa; Chordata; Mammalia; Primates; Hominidae.